CACCAUAUUGUUAUUGGGAGUGGAAGAAAGAACCUGCUGUCUUUAUUUCCUGUUUGGAAGUUCAGCAGUAUGGCCUGUUUCUUCGAGGUUCUAGGGAUCACUAAUUCAAUCCUCAGUCUCCUGAGCACUGGGACGACAAGCAAGCACCAGGUCAGCUUAGCCAUACUUCUUGAUAGCUGCUGUUUGCUGAGUGUGCUGGCUGACUGAGAGUGUGAGCCUCUCUCUCUCCAGGCACUGGGAUGGAAGGGGAUCGGGAUUUCAGGGUGUGCCUCCAGGCAUCUCUGAAACUCUUUGUGCAGAAACUCAUUUCCUCAGGGCCUCAUUUAGACAUUUUCUAUAUGUCUUAGUCACUCUGCUCUAUUCCCUUAGAUGCUUUGUUGAGAAACUGAAAAAAGACAGUAAAUAUAGAAACAUUGCUACCACUGGGAGAAGAAACAACAUCCUCAGGUGGAUCUUCACUGAACCAGCAUCCUCAAGAUUGUAAAUCUUAUUUUAGAAAGGGCUGAGAACCUAAAGUGCCAGUUCCUACAGAGGUACACCAGGGAAUAUGAACAACACCUGGCAGAUAAG
Molecule: long non-coding RNA, 570 nt
Organism: Peromyscus leucopus (white-footed mouse)
Lineage: Eukaryota; Metazoa; Chordata; Mammalia; Rodentia; Cricetidae
Exons: 2
Source: RefSeq, a predicted model, not a curated record